UACGAAGGGGGCUAGCGUUGCUCGGAAUCACUGGGCGUAAAGCGCACGUAGGCGGCUUUCUAAGUCAGGGGUGAAAUCCUGGAGCUCAACUCCAGAACUGCCUUUGAUACUGGAGAGCUUGAGUCCGGGAGAGGUGAGUGGAACUCCGAGUGUAGAGGUGAAAUUCGUAGAUAUUCGGAAGAACACCAGUGGCGAAGGCGGCUCACUGGUCCGGUACUGACGCUGAGGUACGAAAGCGUGGGGAGCAAACAGG
This 253-nucleotide ribosomal RNA is filed under the name uncultured bacterium. RNAcentral's name for it is "partial 16S ribosomal RNA". It matches the Rfam family "Bacterial small subunit ribosomal RNA", at positions 524 to 776 of the family's 1533-position model. The record is from RNAcentral.